GGGGCAGAGAGACAGACCUUUGUGGUUUUUUGACAGAGUCUGGACUUGAAUUACUCAAGCAGAGAUUAUCUGCCUGAAGAAGGAAAAAGAUUUAACAGAUGUCCUCCAUCUCUCUGGCUGUCUCUGUGUCACAAUUGUGACUAGGCUGACAUUUCCUAAAACCUUCAUAAUUCUCCUUGUAGACUAGGGACACCCCUCUCCCCUUCACCUCAAUCCCCAUCCUGUUUGUUCCCAAUAAACCCCUUUACUUGAGAAAGGAAGAGUGAAGAAUAUUUCUCUAAAACCUCAUAGUUCCCCUGAGUUACUUAGAAGGUUCAAGUAACGGCUCUGUCCUGCAUAAGGAAGGUCCCUUUAUGAGUUAUGUUCUCACGAAUCUUGAAAAAUGACUUUCUAUUUACUUGGUAUAUAUCUUAUAUAUUCUUAUCAGUUUAUAUGUCGAUUUUUCCCAGGAAAAAUUUAAUCCUUAAAGGGAAAGAUAUUGUCUUUUUUUGUCUUUGUACUCCCAGGAACCCAGAACAAUCUUUAACACACAGUAGGUGCUUAAUAAAUGCUUAAUGAAAGGAUAUACCUGACUGCUGCCUAGAAGUCUUUGAAGGAUGUUAUCAGAGUUAGAAGACUUUGAUUUCUGCCCAUAUAUACACUGCCAGAGGGCCAAAGUCAUGGUCUUGAUCUUCCAUAUAGAAUGAUGAUCUUCGGACGCCCACAUGAAGUUGCUCCUUCUCUUUUCAACCAUCCUACUGGCUCUGACCUUAAACAACUUCUCUGCCAAUGCCUGCUUGCCUUACCUAGAGCUGGUUGCAAGUCUCAACGUGAAUUCAAGCACAUUUUUGGAUUCGAGGCUCGAUAUAUACGAAGCUGAUGACACCACUAAAGAGGGAUUUCACAAAGUCAACGGAUGUUUGUUAGACCUCACACAGAAAGAGAAGGAAAAGCUCUUGUACCUUCAGGCUAAAAUCAUGAUGAGCCCAACCUGCCAAAUUAAAGGGCCAUGAAAAUAAUGGAAGCUGGACCAACUAAGGUGAUGGAUCAACAACCCCACUAUCACUCUCCAUCAUGGCUGAUUGCUCAUCACAUCUCUAUCCUAUCCCUGCCUGCUAUAGAGGAAACUAUAGACCUCAAGCCAACCUGCCUGGGCUUUUCCCCUUGCUUAUUCCAAUAAACUCAAAGAAAUUCAGUU
Molecule: long non-coding RNA, 1177 nt
Filed under: Monodelphis domestica (gray short-tailed opossum)
Lineage: Eukaryota; Metazoa; Chordata; Mammalia; Didelphimorphia; Didelphidae
Description: lncRNA (ENSMODG00000040246.1)
Source: RNAcentral